ACACAUGCAAGUCGAGCGAAGCGCAUUGCUUUGAAUCUUUCGGGAGGAAGAGCGAAGUGACUUAGCGGCGGACGGGUGAGUAACGCGUGGGUAACCUGCCUCAUACAGGGGGAUAACAGUUAGAAAUGACUGCUAAUACCGCAUAAGCGCACAGGACCGCAUGGUCAAGUGUGAAAAACUGAGGUGGUAUGAGAUGGACCCGCGUCUGAUUAGCUAGUUGGUGAGGUAAGGGCUCACCAAGGCAACGAUCAGUAGCCGACCUGAGAGGGUGACCGGCCACAUUGGGACUGAGACACGGCCCAAACUCCUACGGGAGGCAGCAGUGGGGAAUAUUGCACAAUGGGGGAAACCCUGAUGCAGCGACGCCGCGUGAGCGAAGAAGUAUUUCGGUAUGUAAAGCUCUAUCAGCAGGGAAGAAAAUGACGGUACCUGACUAAGAAGCACCGGCUAAAUACGUGCCAGCAGCCGCGGUAAUACGUAUGGUGCAAGCGUUAUCCGGAUUUACUGGGUGUAAAGGGAGCGUAGACGGAUAAGCAAGUCUGGAGUGAAAGCCCGGGGCUCAACCCCGGGACUGCUUUGGAAACUGUUAAUCUAGAGUGCUGGAGAGGUAAGUGGAAUUCCUAGUGUAGCGGUGAAAUGCGUAGAUAUUAGGAGGAACACCAGUGGCGAAGGCGGCUUACUGGACAGUGACUGACGUUGAGGCUCGAAAGCGUGGGGAGCAAACAGGAUUAGAUACCCUGGUAGUCCACGCCGUAAACGAUGACUACUAGGUGUCGGGUGGCAAAGCCAUUCGGUGCCGCAGCCAACGCAAUAAGUAGUCCACCUGGGG
RNAcentral lists this ribosomal RNA (829 nucleotides) under uncultured bacterium. RNAcentral describes it as "bacterial SSU rRNA". It matches the Rfam family "Bacterial small subunit ribosomal RNA", at positions 51 to 878 of the family's 1533-position model. The record is from RNAcentral.